CUGAAACAGCGAGAGCACGAACACCCCUUUGAAUUAAGCAUAUGAGUAAAGGGAGGAAGAGAAACUUACAAGGAUUCCCGCAGUAGCGGCGAGCGAAGAGGGAGCAGCCCCGAGUGCAAUUAUCAUCGUGUUGUGAUAAGAUGUCGGCGGUCGAACGAACGGCGUUGAAUCGCCGGCCACCGAGGGUGAUAGCCCCGUAGGGACCGAGCGCGGGAGUAGCAGUGUUUGGUAUUGCACUGUGAACGGGUGGCAGCGCCCAUCCAAGGCUAAAUACGGCGCGAGACCGAUAGUGGAGAAGUAGUGCGAACGAAAAACGAAUAGACUGAAAAGGUGAAAUUGCGCAGGGAGCCGAGCGGCUCGGCCCCGUCUUGAAACACGGACCAAGGAGAGCAUGUGCACAGCGAGUCGGAGGGCCUAGACCCUUGGGCGGAGCGAAGGCGGCAGAGCUGUGGGCAUGCGACCCGAUAGACUAGUGAACUAUGCCCGGCGUCUGUGAAGGCUGACGAAAGACAGCCGGAGGCAGUGCGCGGUUCUGAUGUGCAAAUCGAUGGCAGCAGCCGGGCAUAGGGGCGAAAGACCAAUCGAACAGUCUGGUAGCUGGUUCCCCCCGAAAUGUGUUUUAGGACAGCACGCGAGCGAAGAGAGGCUAGGUAGAGCAAAGGUCGCUUAACGCACGUGGCGAACGAACUGCGAAUGAGCCAGGGAGUGCAUGCGCAGAAGCACUGCGGACUUGGGCGAGCGUAGUGGGCGAGUUCUGGUAAGCAGGACUGGCGAGGAGGAAUGAACCUGGCACCGCGAUAAGGCACCGAACGGCGCGGCAGGGAGCAAAGGAUGUAGGUGAAUGAGGACGAUAGGGCGGUGGCCAUGGAAGUCGGCACCCGGUAAGAAACGUGUUGCAACGUACCUAUGGAAUUCAGCUGCACCGAAAAUUGACGGUGCUCACGCGGCGGCCGAUGCGCGGUACAUGGUAGGGGGGCAGGCGUGGGCUGGAGAAGGCGCGUCGCGAGACGCGGUGGAGGGCCACGCCGAGCAGAUCUUGGAGGUAGUAACGACAAUUCGUCUGAGAGGGCGAAGACCGAGGAGGAGAAGGGUUUCCCCAUGAUGGGCAUCAGUGGGGAGAGAGCCGGGACUGAGCGACGGGACGGACGCCCGAGCGACAGAGAAGCGGGCGAGGAUUCCUGCGCCCUGCAGGCACGCGGCGACGCACGCGCCGUGUUGACGGGCACCCGAGCGCGCGGCAGAGCAGCCAUCUCUGUCUGCAGGUGCGUGCCACGCGAGAUGGGUCAGCCAGCGAACGUGGGGCGCUGGGAGCCACACUGUGGCGCGCGUGACGGGUGUCCCCGUGAAAAGACACGGCGAACACUGCAGGCCCGUACCGACAACCGCGACAGGUCUCCUAGGUGAAGAGCCUCUGGUGGAUGUUUAACGCAGGUAAGGGAAGUCGGCAAAAUGGAUGCGUAACUUCGGGAGAAGUAUUGGUUCUUAUGGAACUCUUGGUGGCGCGGGGAAUCUGACUGUUUAAUAAAAACAUAGCUUCAUGAAGGAGAGAUGAAGUGAGUUCUGCCCGGUGCUCGAACAGUGAAAGGUGAGAAAUGACUGUACGCGCGGGUAAACGGCGGGAGUAACUAUGACUCUCUUAAGGUAGCCAAAUGCCUCGUCGAUUAAAUGUCGACGCGCAUGAAUGGAAUGACGAGAUUCCCACUGUCCCUAUCUGCAGACUAGUGAACCCACGGCUCAAGGGAACGGGCUUGAGUUAGAGAGCGGGGAAAGAAGACCCUUUUGAGCUUGACUCUAGUGUGGCAGCGCGGUGGGCACAGUUGCGAUGUAGGGAGGUGGUAGCUCCGGCGCAGGUGAAAGACCACUGCGCAACAGUGCCCAUUGCACACCCCUGGGGGGAUGGAUGCCAGAUGGGGAGUUUGGCUGGGGCGGCACGGCUGCAGCAACAGAACGCAGCCGUCCGAAGGCACUUGCAGCGAGACGAGAACACCCGCGUAGAGCAUAAGGGCUUGAGAGUGCUUGAGCACGGGCUGGGCGGCCCGUGUGCGGGGAAACCCAGGCCUAGAGAUCCUACGGCCACGCGGCGGUUGUGGCGUAGGUGACAGAAAAGUUACCGGAGGGAUAACUGGCUUGUGGCACCCGAGCGCAGAAAGCGACGGUGCUUUUUGAUUCUUCGAUGUCGGCUCUUCCUAUCAUGGCCAUGCAGGAGUGGCGAAGUGUUGGAUUGUUCACCCACAAACAGGGAACGUGAGCUGGGUUUAGACCGUCGUGAGACAGGUUAGUUUUAUCCUACUCUCUGGUCCGGGAGGGGAGAGGGUAGUAGUACGAAAGGAAGGCCCCUCGAGACCGCUGGUCGAGCCGUUGUGCGGACGUGCAUGCGGCGAAGCUACGUCUCCACGAGCACAGCUGAAGGCCUCUAAGCUGGAAGCGGGUCCCGAACGGACAAGGCGGGCGCGAAGACGACGCGCCGUGGAUGGCGGGGUUGUGCGGCAUGAGCAAUGGAGCGAUCCAGCGAGUGCUUGAGACCCUGCUCAUCCCCCGCCGC
Molecule: ribosomal RNA, 2542 nt
Filed under: Pseudoloma neurophilia
Lineage: Eukaryota; Fungi; Microsporidia
Description: Eukaryotic large subunit ribosomal RNA
Rfam family: Eukaryotic large subunit ribosomal RNA
Source: Rfam by way of RNAcentral